GGAGUUGGUAGCUCAGUUGGUAGAGUGCUUGCCUUGCAUACCCGAGGCCCUGGGUUCAAUUUCCAGCCCCA
Molecule: transfer RNA, 71 nt
Filed under: Marmota monax (woodchuck)
Lineage: Eukaryota; Metazoa; Chordata; Mammalia; Rodentia; Sciuridae
Description: tRNA.Ala
Source: RNAcentral